This 357-nucleotide transfer-messenger RNA is filed under the name Verrucomicrobiia. Its description in RNAcentral is "UBA1100 sp003517285 Standard tmRNA". It matches the Rfam family "transfer-messenger RNA". Rfam says of the family: Bacterial tmRNA, also known as 10Sa RNA or SsrA, is named for its dual tRNA and mRNA-like properties. Lineage: Bacteria; Pseudomonadati; Verrucomicrobiota. RNAcentral also lists the same sequence under 1 other name. The record is from RNAcentral.
GGGGGCGUUCUGGAUUCGACUGUGUGGACGCGUCAUGAAUUGCAUGCCGAGGAUGGUUUGGAACCUCGUAAAUCAGCCUUACCAAAAAUCAACUGCCAACGAAGAAUUGGCUCUCGCGGCCUAAUUAAUCCGCGACGUCUGCCCCUUGACGCCGACUAGGGGGUGCAGGCGACGACAGACGGCUAGGGGAUCUGCGGAGAUCGCGCGCAUUGAACCGAAACUUUUUUCAUGCGUACUAGGUUGUGGGAUUUGUGUCCGGUCAUUAUCCCGCCACCGAAAAACGAAUCCGGACUAAGCAUGUAGAGGUUCAUGGUUAAUUUACUCAGGACGCGGGUUCAAUUCCCGCCGCCUCCACCA